CAGCAGCCGCGGUAAUACGUAGGGUGCGAGCGCUAAUCGGAAUUACUGGGCGUAAAGCGUGCACAGGCGGUUGUGUAAGACAGGUGUGAAAUCCCCGGGCUUAACCUGGGAACUGCGCUUGUGACUGCACAGCUAGAGUAUGGCAGAGGGGGGUGGAAUUCCACGUGUAGCAGUGAAAUGCGUAGAGAUGUGGAGGAACACCGAUGGCGAAGGCAGCCCCCUGGGCCAAUACUGACGCUCAUGCACGAAAGCGUGGGGAGCAAACAGGAUUAGAUACCCGAGUAGUCCCUGUCUCUUAUAC
Molecule: ribosomal RNA, 301 nt
Filed under: uncultured bacterium
Lineage: Bacteria
Description: partial 16S ribosomal RNA
Rfam family: Bacterial small subunit ribosomal RNA
Source: RNAcentral